AACUCAGAAUCUAGAUAUAUAGUCAUAAAGUUGCAAAGAACCAGGCCAAUAAUGUGAAUGGUAGUAAGUGAGAGAAGACUGUUGAGGGAUGGAUUGGCAAUUUCAGUGGCUACAGAGAAGUCCAGCAAGACAAGAGCUUUGAUAUGCCUACUACUUUUGGCAACAUAGCCUUACCAAAAACAGGUUCACUAAAGUGUAGGGCAGAAGUCUAAUGGCAGAGGGUGAAGACCAAAGAAUGGAAAAGGAAGAAAUUAAAACACAGAGAGCCUACUGCUCUUAAGAAUUUUAAGUGCAAAGGACCAGGAGUCAUGUCAGUUUUUUUGUGGUUGACAUUCGAUACUGUUUUUGUUAUUUUUUAAGAGCAAGAGAGGAAAGGGGAACAAGAAGAAGAGGGGGAAAGAGAGAAGAGAAAAAUGGAGUGAGUAGAGGAAAAGAACCCUCAUGGGGAAGUAGAAGGGGCUAAGAAAGCUGCUAUAGUUGCACCAAAGCUGAUCCAAGUACCAGAAAGAAGCCCUGUCAGAAGGAAGAAACGAAGUUUCCAUUUCCAUGCUCCAUCCAUCCGGUAUGCUACCAACUUCAAGUGACAAGUUGUCCUUCCUAUGAGAUCAUCAGGAUGUCUGCUGAACUCAUUAUGGUUUGACAGACAGUUAUACUGAAUUCUCAUUCUAACACUACUACAGAACCAUGAGUUGAAAAAUAUUUUGUAAUCUGUUGUGAUUUUAACUGUCAUGGACUAUGCUUUUCUAUUUGUGCAGCUAAUCCAAACACAAUUCCUAAUUCACCAUUCUCCCUCUUAGGGACCUAGGAAAUACAUACAAAAAGCCAGGAUGAAAAAGAAUAUAGUCUGUGAUGUUUUGUUCAGAAGACCACUGGCAGGCUCAAAGUGUCUUUUUCUAUCUCAAGAUUAACAACAACAAUUAUCAUUCAGUGUCUUUCAGUUUGUAAUUCCCCAGAGUAUGAGCCAAUAUCCUUCUUAGUCUAUAAAUACCCUUCACAGCAUCAGAUAAUGAAUAAUGUCUGUUGAACCAGGGGGUGCCCUCUUGAAGAGAUGUUAGUUCUGCUUUCUCCUCACUCACUGCUUUUGUUGCUGUGGUUGUAUUACUAGGAAGGGGAAAUCUGUUCACCUCUGUGGAUUCCAUACCAGCAGCAACUGUGGAGAAAGGAAAUAUGUGAUACUAAUGGAAACCUGUUUUUAAUGUUUUCCUUGCAUUUCACUGAAGUAGUAAUAGCUAGCACUUGUUGAAUACUUACUGCCAGUCAAAUAGUGUUAAAGGUUUCCAGGCAUUGUCUCAAUUCA
Molecule: long non-coding RNA, 1297 nt
Organism: Bos taurus (domestic cattle)
Lineage: Eukaryota; Metazoa; Chordata; Mammalia; Artiodactyla; Bovidae
Source: Ensembl